This is a long non-coding RNA of Nelumbo nucifera (sacred lotus), 1056 nucleotides long. RefSeq lists it as uncharacterized. Lineage: Eukaryota; Viridiplantae; Streptophyta; Magnoliopsida; Proteales; Nelumbonaceae. The record is from RefSeq and is a predicted model, not a curated record.
AUUCGGUUCCUCUUUCCCUGUGGCGCGGGGUUUUCCACAUGGUCAGCAUUCUCUCUCAGAAACAAAAAGAUGGCAGAAAAAAUUGAAGAGAAGUUCCAUGUUGCAUUUCUCACGAGUUCUUCAGGGCAGCUUCGAAGUAGCAGUUAUACACGCCUAUGGUGGCGCUCGGAUUUUCAGGGAGUUACGCGAGAAGAUGGCGAGUCAGGUUUCUACCACGAUCAGUCAGAUGAAUUCACAGCUGGCCGUCGUGUAUCUUCGUAUCCUCCGGUGUACGAAGGGGACGAAUGUUUUACUUUCUCCGAAAUUUUGGACGCAGUUGAUGACCUCAGCUCCCGUCUCCGUCACAUAUUGGAUGGCGGUGACGAUCCGAACUUGGUUAGACCAAAAGGAAGUGGUAUUCUAUGAGGAUGGUGAACCUAUAAUAGAUGGAAAAUCUUGAGAUCUGAAGUUCCACAUUUGUACUACACCACAUGAGCGAUUCAGAAAGGAAGGCAAUGAUCGUUACAAUAACACUGGAAUUACUAAACCUAAAGAAGUGAUGAAAUUCAAAGGCCAAGGAAUGCCGUUGCAUCUUAGCACAAAGAAAGGAGAUCUAUAUGUGACCUUCGAGGUUCUGUUCCCUAGUUCCUUAAUAGAAGACCAGAAAACCAAGAUCAAGGCGGCCCUUGGUUAAGUUUGGGAAUCCCUUUUUUGUUCCAAUAUGUCUUGAUUGUACCAUGAUGAGAUCAAAUGGAAGGUGCAAGCUGUCGUAGGGAUAAAGAUGCUCAUUAUAUAAUUCCUUGAAGUUCCUGAUACCAACAGGGCUGUUUUCCAUUGCAUUAUUUUUUCUCACAAUAUAUAUGUUUCAUUUUUGCUCUAAUAUAAUAUUCUAACAUGAAAGUACAUUGAGGAAAGUAAACUUAGCUUUGCCUUAGGACUGUACCUUCUACUUGUGCUUUGCAUUGAGAAUGAACAUGAUUUCACGGUGAGGUUGUUGUAAAUGUCUCCUACUAAUGACCCAAGACAAAUAUUAAGUACUGUAGGUCUAAUGUUGAACCAAUUUGUUCCCUUACCCUC